Molecule: ribosomal RNA, 461 nt
Filed under: uncultured bacterium
Lineage: Bacteria
Description: partial 16S ribosomal RNA
Rfam family: Bacterial small subunit ribosomal RNA
Source: RNAcentral
GGUGAACGCUGGCGGCGUGCUUAAGACAUGCAAGUCGAACGAUCGUAUUCGGACGGUAGUGGCGCACGGGUGAGUAACGAGUAACUGACAUGCCCCCAAUUUCCGAAUAACCAUCCGAAAGGAGGGCCAAUACGGGAUGUGCUGUACCCUACUGUGGGGCCAGUAACGGCUUGACAGAUUGGGGAAGGGGUUGCGUUCCAUCAGCUAGUUGGUAGGGUAAAAGCUAACCAUGGCAACGACGGAUAGCCGGCCUGAGAGGCUGGCCGGGCACAGGGGCACUGAGACACGCGGCACGCACCUGCAGGGAGCAUCAGUUAGUAAGCUUCCCCAAUAGGCGAAAAUCUGAGGUGGCGACGCCACGUGAGGGGUUAAUGUAUUCGGAUCGUAAACCUCGGAAUCAUGUACAAAAGACGCGGAAGCGGUAUAACGUUACCUGAGAAAGAGCACCGGCUAACUCCGUG